GGUACAGUCAUAUUCUUCUGAAAGCAUGGCUCAAUAAAUGAACACUCUACAUUUCAGGUAGCCAGCCAACACAACAUUGAGAUCACGUUUACAGAUACACAGACAGAGAAACUGCCAAGGUAACUGUGUCUCAGAUAGAUGGCUGACAAGCAGAUCAGUUUACCUGCCAAAUUGAUCAACGGGGGAAUUGCUGGACUGAUUGGUGUGACAUGUGUAUUUCCUAUUGACCUAGCCAAGACCCGUCUCCAGAACCAGCAAAAUGGUUCCCGUCUCUACACCAGCAUGUCAGAUUGCCUUAUCAAGACCAUCCAAUCAGAGGGGUACUUUGGCAUGUACAGAGGUGCUGCUGUGAACCUGACUCUGGUCACUCCAGAGAAGGCCAUCAAACUAGCUGCCAAUGACUUCUUUAGACAGCACCUGUCCAAGGAUGGUCAGAAGCUUAGCCUGCUGAGGGAGAUGCUGGCGGGUUGUGGUGCUGGUACAUGUCAGGUCAUCAUCACCACUCCCAUGGAGAUGCUAAAGAUUCAGUUACAGGAUGCAGGGCGGAUAGAGGCUCAGAGGAAGCUGAUGUCCCAGGCUGCAGUUAGGGUCCCUGGGGGCCCAGUGGAGUUGAGGUCCCAUACAGCAAUGCAGCUCACCCGGGAGCUUCUGAGGAGCCAGGGCAUUGCAGGGCUCUACAAGGGCCAGGGGGCCACACUCCUGAGGGACGUGCCAUUCUCCAUAAUCUACUUCCCCCUGUUUGCCAAUCUGAACAGUCUUGGUGGCUGUGGGGCUGAUGGCCCCGCUCCCUUUUAUGUGUCCUUUGCAUCAGGCUGCAUCGCUGGCAGUACAGCUGCUGUGGCAGUUAAUCCUGUGGAUGGUAAGGACAGUCGUGUGUGUGUAUACAGGUAUGAGUGUAUAUACAGUUGUGUGGUUUUUCCGUGCAUCGGCAAGACAGAACAGCUGCCUCCGGUAAAGACAAGAGGUGGAGGUCUGUGUCUAUUUGUCAAUAACAGCUGGUGCACAAAAUCAAAUAUUAAGGAAGUCUCAAGGUUUUGCUCACCUGAGGUAGAGUAUCUCAUGAUAAGCUGUAGACCACACUAUAUUUUUCGUAGCUGUCUAUUUACCACCACAAAGCGAUGCUGGCACUAAGACCACACUCAAUGAGCCGUAUAAAGCCAUAAGCAAACAAGAAAAUGCUCAUCCAGAGGCGGUGCUCCUAGUGACCGGGGACUUUAAUGCAGAGAAACUAAAAUCCGUUUUACCUGUUACAUGUGCAAAAAGAGUGGAGAAAACUCUAGACUACCUUUACUCCAAACACAAAGACGCAUACAGAGCUCUCCCUCAUCCUCCAUUUGGCAAAUCUGACUAUAAUUAUAUCCUCCUGAUUCCUGCUUACAAGCAAAAACUAAAACAGGAAGUACCAGUGACUCUCUCAAUACAGAGGUGGUCAGAUGGCACAGAUGCUAAGCUACAGGACUAUUUUGCUAGCAAAGACUGGAAUAUGUUCCAGGACUCAUCCAGUUUCAUUGAGGAAUAUUACGUACAUACCCCAACCAGAAGCCAUGGAUUGCAGGCAACAUCCGCACUGAGCUAAAGGGUAGGGCUGCCGCUUUCAAGGAGCAAGACUCUAACCCGGACGCAAAUAAGAAAUCCUGCUAUGCCCUCAGAUGAACCAUCAAACAGGCCAUGUGUUAAUACAGUACUAAGAUUGAGUCCUAUUACACCGGCUCCAACGCUCGUCGGAUGUGGCAAGGCUUGCAUAAUAUUACGGACUUCAAAGGGAAGUCCAGCCGUGAGCUGACCAGUGACACAAGCCUACCAGAAGAACAAAAUUACUUCUAUGCGUGCUUCAAGGCAAGCAACACUGAAGCAUAGAUGAGAGCACCAGCAGUCGAUGUGACUAAGACCUUUAAAAAAAAAUGUUUACCCCCUUUUUGUCCCAUCGGUGCAACUCCCCUACUGGCUCGGGAGGUGAAGGUCGAGUCAUGCAUCCUUUGAAACAUGAACCACCAAACCGUGCUUCUUAACACCCACCCACUUAACCCGGAAGCCAUCCGCACCAAUGUGUUGGAGGAAACCUCGCCAAUUGUGUGCCGCCCUUUGGGAAGAUCAUGACCAGUUCUGAUACAGCCCGGGAUUGAACAUGGGUCCGUAAUGAUAACUCUAGCACUGCGAUGCAGUGCAUUAGACCACUGUGCCACUCGGGAGGCCCAUGAGUAGGAUCUUUAAACAGGUAAACAUUCACAAGGCCGCAGGGCCAGAUGGUUACCAGGACGUGUACUCUGGGCAUGCACUGACCAACUGGCAAGUGCCUUCACUGAUAUUUUCAACCUGUCCCUGGCUGAGUCUGUAAUACCUACAUGUUUCAAGCAGCCUAUAGGGAGGAGGUCAGAGACCUGAAAGUGUGGUGCCAGGGCAACAACACAAUCAUGUGAUUAAGACAAAGGAGAGGCUAGUGCGUACGGACCAGUACAUCACUGGGGCCAAGCUUCCUGUCAUCCAGGACCUAUGUACCAGUCAGUGUCAGAGAAAUGCCCUAAGUCUUAUUUUUCUUAAAACUGCAUUGUUGGUUAAGGGCUAAUAAGUAAGCAUUUCACGGUAAGGUCUACCUGUUGUAUUCAGCACAUGUGACAAAUAAAAUGUGAUUUGAUUAUGCCUGCCAUGUGCCCUGUAAGUCUAUUGAUACAGUAUGUGUGUCCUAGUGAUUAAGACCAGAAUUCAGACCAUGACACGGGGAAGUCAGGAGGACACCUACGGCGGAGUGACAGACUGCAUCAGGAAGAUUCUGCGCCAAGAGGGUCCCUCUGCUUUCCUGAAGGGAGCGUACUGCCGUGCUCUGGUCAUUGCUCCCCUCUUUGGCAUCGCACAGGUGGUCUACUUCCUGGGAGUGGGAGAGUUCCUUCUCAGCUUCCUGCCUCAACAGAACAACUAGUCUUGCACUCUCACACACAGCCCACAUUGGAGCCAG
This is an RNA transcript of Oncorhynchus kisutch (coho salmon), 2950 nucleotides long. It is a transcript of the gene named mitochondrial glutamate carrier 1, with no coding region annotated. The record is from RefSeq and is a predicted model, not a curated record. The transcript is spliced from 10 exons. NCBI's taxonomy places the organism in Eukaryota, Metazoa, Chordata, Actinopteri, Salmoniformes, Salmonidae.